Molecule: ribosomal RNA, 279 nt
Filed under: uncultured bacterium
Lineage: Bacteria
Description: partial 16S ribosomal RNA
Rfam family: Bacterial small subunit ribosomal RNA
Source: RNAcentral
UGCCAGCAGCCGCGGUAACACGGGGGGCGCAAGCGUUAUUCGGAAUUAUUGGGCGUAAAGGGCGCGCAGGCGGUCUUGUCCGUCAGGUGUGAAAGCCCUGGGCUCAACCCAGGAAGUGCGCCGAAAACCAAUUAGCUUGAGAAUCGGAGGGGAGUGUGGAAUUCCUAGUGUAGAGGUGAAAUUCGUAGAUAUUAGGAGGAACACCGGUGGCGAAGGCGACACUCUGGACGAUUUCUGACACUGAGACGCGACAGCGUGGGUAGCAAACAGGAUUAGAUA